Molecule: ribosomal RNA, 1230 nt
Filed under: metagenome
Description: bacterial LSU rRNA
Rfam family: Bacterial large subunit ribosomal RNA
Source: RNAcentral
AGCGUCGAAGCAGUAUCGUGAGGUAUUGUGGAGCGUACGGAAAAGCAAAUGUAGGCAUAAGUAACGAUAAUGCGGGUGAGAACCCCGCACGCCGUAAGGUCAAGGAUUCCCCGGCAAUGUCAAUCAUCCGGGGGUAAGUCGGGUCCUAAGUCGUAGCCGACAGGUAUAGACGAUGGCCAACAGGUUAAUAUUCCUGUACUCAUUUAUACUGCGAUGCAGAGACGUAGCGAUGACACUGCUGCCUCCUGACGGAAUAGGAGGUUGAAGCCCGUACCCAUAGAUGCCUGUAGUCAAGUACGCAGGCAGAGGUGAAAGGCGAUAGUACCGCAAUACUUCGGUAGCGCGGAUAAUGCAGGUAAUUUAACUACCAAGAAAAUCUGCUAAGCUUCAGGUAUAAAUGACCCGUACUGUAAACGGACACACGUGACCGGGUAGAGAAUACUCAGGCGCUCGAGAUAUUCAUGGCUAAGGAACUAGGCAAAAUAGUCCUGUAACUUCGGGAUAAAGGACGCUGGUAGUGAUACCAGCCGCAGAUAAAUGGCCCAGGCGACUGUUUACCAAAAACACAUGGCUAUGCUAAAUCGUAAGAUGAUGUAUAUGGCCUGACACCUGCCCGGUGCUGGAAGGUUAAGAGGAGAGCUCAGGAGCAAUCCGAAGGUUUGAAUUGAAGCCCCAGUAAACGGCGGCCGUAACUAUAACGGUCCUAAGGUAGCGAAAUUCCUUGUCGGGUAAGUUCCGACCUGCACGAAUGGUGUAACGAUCUGGGUACUGUCUCAGCCAUGAUCUCGGUGAAAUUGUAGUUCCGGUGAAGAUGCCGGAUACCCGCAACGGGACGGAAAGACCCCGUGAACCUUUACUGCAGCUUUGCAUUGAUUUUGGGUAAGUGAUGUGUAGGAUAGGUCGGAGGCUAUGAGACGGGCUCGUCAGGGUUCGUGGAGCCGCCGUUGAAAUACGACCCUUUGCUUAUCUGAGGUCUAAUCCCUUUAUAGGGAGACAUUGCAUGGUGGGUAGUUUGACUGGGGUGGUCGCCUCCAAAAGCGUAACGGAGGCUUCUCAAGGUACCCUCAUGGCGAUUGGUAACCGCCAGUAGAGUGCAAUGGCAUAAGGGUGCUUGACUGUGAGACCCACAAGUCGAUCAGGUUGGAAACAAGAGCAUAGUGAUCCGGUGGUUCCGCAUGGAAGGGCCAUCGCUCAAAGGAUAAAAGGUACUCCGGGGAUAACAGGCUGAUC